AGUGAACGCUGGCGGUAGGCCUAACACAUGCAAGUCGAACGGCAGCACAGUAAGAGCUUGCUCUUACGGGUGGCGAGUGGCGGACGGGUGAGGAAUACAUCGGAAUCUACUUUUUCGUGGGGGAUAACGUAGGGAAACUUACGCUAAUACCGCAUACGACCUACGGGUGAAAGCAGGGGAUCUUCGGACCUUGCGCGAUUGAAUGAGCCGAUGUCGGAUUAGCUGGUUGGCGGGGUAAAGGCCCACCAAGGCGACGAUCCGUAGCUGGUCUGAGAGGAUGAUCAGCCACACUGGAAAUGAGACACGGUCCAGACUCCUACGGGAGGCAGCAGUGGGGAAUAUUGGACAAUGGGCGCAAGCCUGAUCCAGCCAUACCGCGUGGGUGAAGAAGGCCUUCGGGUUGUAAAGCCCUUUUGUUGGGAAAGAAAAGCAGCAGGUUAAUACCCCGCUGUUCUGACGGUACCCAAAGAAUAAGCACCGGCUAACUUCGUG
Molecule: ribosomal RNA, 492 nt
Filed under: uncultured bacterium
Lineage: Bacteria
Description: partial 16S ribosomal RNA
Rfam family: Bacterial small subunit ribosomal RNA
Source: RNAcentral